RNAcentral lists this ribosomal RNA (497 nucleotides) under uncultured bacterium. RNAcentral's name for it is "partial 16S ribosomal RNA". It matches the Rfam family "Bacterial small subunit ribosomal RNA", at positions 28 to 507 of the family's 1533-position model. The record is from RNAcentral.
GAUGAACGCUGGCGGCGUGCCUAAUACAUGCAAGUCGAGCGAACAGACGAGGAGCUUGCUCCUCUGACGUUAGCGGCGGACGGGUGAGUAACACGUGGAUAACCUACCUAUAAGACUGGGAUAACUUCGGGAAACCGGAGCUAAUACCGGAUAAUAUAUUGAACCGCAUGGUUCAAUAGUGAAAGACGGUUUUGCUGUCACUUAUAGAUGGAUCCGCGCCGCAUUAGCUAGUUGGUAAGGUAACGGCUUACCAAGGCAACGAUGCGUAGCCGACCUGAGAGGGUGAUCGGCCACACUGGAGCUGAGACACGGUCCAGACUCCUACGGGAGGCAGCGGUAGGGAAUCUUCCGCAAUGGGCGAAAGCCUGACGGAGCAACGCCGCGUGAGUGAUGAAGGUCUUCGGAUCGUAAAACUCUGUUAUUAGGGAAGAACAAAUGUGUAAGUAACUAUGCACGUCUUGACGGUACCUAAUCAGAAAGCCACGGCUAACUACGUG